AUAUAUCUGCCACCGGGCAGAGAUGCUUUAAGCAUUCAUUACUCAUCGUUAGGUCUUUGAAGAUGAGCAUAUGGACGCUUAUUUUUUU
Molecule: non-coding RNA, 88 nt
Filed under: unclassified sequences
Source: RNAcentral